Molecule: ribosomal RNA, 397 nt
Filed under: uncultured bacterium
Lineage: Bacteria
Description: partial 16S ribosomal RNA
Rfam family: Bacterial small subunit ribosomal RNA
Source: RNAcentral
AUACGUAGGGGGCGAGCGUUGUCCGGAAUGAUUGGGCGUAAAGGGCGCGUAGGCGGCUUUGCAAGUCAGUAGUGGAAGUCCAUUUUUCAAGGAUGGAAGUGCUACAGAAACUGCGGAGCUUGAGUGCAGGAGAGGUUAUCGGAAUUCCCGGUGUAGCGGUGAAAUGCGUAGAGAUCGGGAGGAACACCAGUGGCGAAGGCGGGUAACUGGACUGCAACUGGCGCUGAGGCGCGAAAGUGUGGGGAGCAAACAGGAUUAGAUACCCUGGUAGUCCACACCGUAAACGAUGAAUGCUAGGUGUAGGAGGUAUCGACCCCUUCUGUGCCGCAGUAAACACAGUAAGCAUUCCGCCUGGGGAGUACGGUCGCAAGAUUAAAACUCAAAGGAAUUGACGGGG